Pipra filicauda (Wire-tailed manakin) is the source of this 217-nucleotide long non-coding RNA. RefSeq lists it as uncharacterized. NCBI's taxonomy places the organism in Eukaryota, Metazoa, Chordata, Aves, Passeriformes, Pipridae. The transcript has 3 exons. The record is from RefSeq and is a predicted model, not a curated record.
ACUUUCCUCUUUAUCUGGGUCACUGAAGAUUGUCUGCUGCCUUGUAUCACACCCAUACUGCUCCAUGCCCUUUGGGAAUGCUGAGGAAAGGAGCUAUAUUGCCAUUACACUGGGUAAAGAAUAUGUCUGCAGUCUGAAAAUCUGGUUCUGUCUGACUGUGUUUACUUGCUGGACUACUUGGGUUGCCUCCCCACUUUCUGUGCAGAGGAGAGAAAGG